AGACUUGUAAGCGUCCAUGUCUGUGAUCGCAUUGCUUGCUUCUCCCUCCGUCAGCUUUGUCAUGCAGGAGUGCUUCAAGAUGAUGUUGACAGUCAGUGUUUAUGAUGAUUUUGCUGAAACGUGGUUAUUUCACUGCCCAGGCCUGCCGGUCAUGAUGGAAUUUGCUUGUGAUUUCGUCUAUGUGCCUCCACCAGUCGGUCCAAAGGACAGCCAGCAAGCCAAUGUCUUCAAGCGCUCAGCGCUUCUACCUCCCGUCAGCUGGGUCCGUCCCCUCGGGGCGCCCCCUCCUCCUCCUGUCGAGGUCAAGCCGGGUCACUCGCCCCCCACCAAAGUCAGCGAGCAGCCGGACGUGGGCGAGCGGCAGGAGGCGGCGGGCUCGGGGUCCCGCUUCUAUGACAAUGUUGUCUUAGAGCUCAAAUCUCCCAAGCGGUUGACACCCGCCCGAAAGACAGCUUUGCUUCCACCCCACCUGAGACCUCCGCCUUCUCCCGGCCAGCCGUCUCCUUCUGAUAAGUUUACCGACGACGACGUAGGCCCUCGGUCAUCGUCGGACACGGACGCCGCAGCGAAUAUCCAAGAAGGCACCGGGCUCGAUGGGAAUGCGCCUGGCCAGACGGCACCCUCGGCCCCUCCUCUUCCUCCCCGUCCUUCCUUCAUGAAGAACAUGCCGGAGUAUGUGGUGCUUCUGCCCGCAUCCUCCUCCACUGAAAAGCCGCUCCUGUGCCCGCCUCCAGCCACGCCACCUCCAGCGUCCACAGACAAUGCGGGCCCUCUGCCGGGAAACCCCAACGUGAUCCUCGUCAGCUUGGGAAAGCUGCUAUCGGAGAAAGUGCAGCACACACAAGGAAAACCCACUUCCUGCUCCCAGUGUGGCUCUGUGCUGGGCUCCACCUAUGACAACCAGACCAACGGCUGUUACUUCUGUGAGCCGCCCGAGCGGAGCAGCGUCCCCAGUGGCGGUUUGCAGCACGGCCUGUUCGUGCUGAGCCCCUCGGAAAAACUCCCGAGCGCUUCUCAGCCUCUGCUUAUCUUCUGCAUCGACAUCUCGGCCUCCAUGAGCAUCACCUCUCAGGUGUCGCCGGGUGAGCAGUUUAUCCACAGAUCGCGCCUGGAGUUUGUCCAGGAAGCUGUUUUAUUAUGUGUUCACAAACUGAGCAAACAACACCCUGACACACCCGUGGGGCUCAUCACCUUCAACUAUGAGGUGACAGUACACGGAUACGGAGAUUUCCCAUCACGUGUCCUGAGCGGAGAUGACUUGAUGAACAGUGACAAUCUGAAAGUGGCUGCCACUGUUUUCCCCACUCCACCUCCGCUGUCACGCACUAAGCGCUUCCUGGAGAAGCAAGUGACAGAAUUGUCUGCCGUGGGCAUCACGGCACUGGGCCCAGCAGCUCUUGUCGCCGUCACCAUGGCCUCCAGACACCCGGGCUCCAAGGUGAUCAUCUGUACAGACGGGAAGGCCAACACGACGUUAGGGAAUUUGGAGGUGGAGGACAACGACGCACGGACCCUCCUGUCGUCCACCAUCUUCUACCAAGAACUGGGGGGAAAUGCUGCCAAUCAGGGCGUGACCGUGUCAGUGCUGUCUAUAGAGGGAACUGACUGCAGGCUGGAUGAGCUGGGACGUCUCGCUGAUCGCACAGGAGGAAAAGUGGUGAUCGCUAAUCCCAAAAUGCUACAGUCGGAGUUUGAGCAAAUUAUUGAGAACAGCACUAUCGCCACACAGUGCACCGUCACGUUGAUGCUGCCCAAAUCAAUGUGUAUGAGAGGAGAGAAAGAGGCGGGACACAAAGUAGCCAGAAAGGUGGGAAAUGUGCACCUGGAUAAAGAGAUCACCUUCCAGUUUGUGGCCAACGAGGGAGAAGUGUCGUCGCCAAUGUCCGGCAGCGCUGUGUCCGUCCAGCUGCAGCUCCGAUACAUGCAGAGGAACGGAUGGCGGAUGCUCCGAGUGUUCACCGUGACCCGAAAUGUCACUCAUGAAAGCUCGGUGGCGCUGUCCUCUCUGUCUCUGCCCAUCAUUCAGCUCAACUCCUCACAGGCCAGCGCCGCUCUGGCCGUCCGAGGCCGCUUCCUGGACGCCCGGCGGGAGAACGAGCAGCAGAUGAAGCUCAUCGAGAGAGCGAUAGAGCACAACCGCAGCGCGGAGGACAGAGAGACGUACAAGGAAUGGGUCAUCACCAUGGAGCCGAUAUACAACAACAUCUAUAACUUCACAAGGAUACUUUUCAGCGGAUACUCCCUCUUUUGCUUGUUCAUGCGAGAGUCCUUCCUGUUUGGAUACUUCCUCCUACUGUACUGACUGUUGGAAAACCUCCUGCUAUGGUACUUCCUCCUUGGGUACUACUUCCUGUUGUAAAACUUCCUUCUCGGGUCCUCCCUGUUUGGAUAAUUCCUACCAAGUCUCUGACAGACACUGGCGCAGCGCUGCUGUACACCAUGAAGCAGAGCAACAGGAAGACCAUCAUGAUAAAGAAUCAGCAGAACCUUCACUUUUCACCCCAUUGGAAGCAAUCCAAAUACUGAAAGGCGCGCACACACACAAACACACACACACACACACAGACACACACUGUGACACACACAAACUGCUGAUAAGCUGCAUUACAUUCAGUGUGUUCACUGUAUGAAUUGUUUAGAGGCUUUAAACUUUGUGUUGUUUUUUUGUUUUUUUGCACUGACACCACGCAAAUAUACAACUGCACUGUACAGUAUGUGCAGCUUGACAACAAUGAAGGCUGAAGCACAUCGGCUGCCAUUAAGAGCAGGACAGCAGCAGACUCAAGUGACAAAGGGCUCUCAAGUCCGUGAAUGGCGGCAACUCGUGGCGUGGACGCGAUACGGGAGCCACGUCACCGCGUCAGGUGUGGCGGGUGACGUCUGCUCCUGCGGCAAAUGCUUUCUCAAGAGCAGAAAGGUUGACUUAAAUGUGUAUUUUUCUCGGCCCCUUUGUAAAAUGAAAUGACAAACUUUAUGUAAAGUGUGUCAUGAGUGCACUUGUUCUUAAGACUCAUGCGUACAACAUUACAUACCAGGGAUGGGCAAAGUAUGGCUUUUUAUAAGCGUUUAACGCUUUAUUUCCAUAUUUGAGUACUACAUACUGUAGUUCUCAGUCUUGGCACGUUUUCAGCAAUCAUCUUUAAACAUCUAGAAUGUAUUUAGAAACAAAUCUCUGAAUUCACUAUAAAAGGUCUUUAAUGUGGCCCAGCAUGUAUUUACAUUAAGAGUCCUGUAAUAUUUGUUGCAAUUGGAUCAUUAACAUACAUUUCUUUUAAAUGAAUUUGAUAAUGAAUGGAAUUGUUUUUUAUUGAUUAAUUGUAAAUAACAUUACAAUUAAAUGUAUUCAAAAUGA
Molecule: RNA transcript, 3352 nt
Organism: Phyllopteryx taeniolatus (common seadragon)
Lineage: Eukaryota; Metazoa; Chordata; Actinopteri; Syngnathiformes; Syngnathidae
Gene name: circularly permutated Ras protein 1
Exons: 21
Source: RefSeq, a predicted model, not a curated record